AUUGAACGCUGGCGGCAUGCCUUACACAUGCAAGUCGAACGGCAGCGGACCUUCGGGUGCCGGCGAGUGGCGAACGGGUGAGUAAUAUAUCGGAACGUACCUUUCAGUGGGGGAUAACGUAGCGAAAGUUACGCUAAUACCGCAUAUUCUGUGAGCAGGAAAGCAGGGGAUCGCAAGACCUUGCGCUGAUUGAGCGGCCGAUAUCAGAUUAGCUAGUUGGUGAGGUAAAGGCUCACCAAGGCGACGAUCUGUAGCGGGUCUGAGAGGAUGAUCCGCCACACUGGAACUGAGACACGGUCCAGACUCCUACGGGAGGCAGCAGUGGGGAAUUUUGGACAAUGGGCGCAAGCCUGACCCAGCCAUGCCGCGUGAGUGAAGAAGGCCUCGGUUGUAAG
RNAcentral lists this ribosomal RNA (395 nucleotides) under uncultured bacterium. RNAcentral describes it as "bacterial SSU rRNA". It matches the Rfam family "Bacterial small subunit ribosomal RNA", at positions 30 to 429 of the family's 1533-position model. The record is from RNAcentral.